RNAcentral lists this ribosomal RNA (465 nucleotides) under uncultured bacterium. RNAcentral's name for it is "partial 16S ribosomal RNA". It matches the Rfam family "Bacterial small subunit ribosomal RNA", at positions 29 to 507 of the family's 1533-position model. The record is from RNAcentral.
AUGAACGCUGGCGGCGUGCUUAACACAUGCCAGUCGAACGAUGAAGCCCAGCUUGCUGGGUGGAUUAGUGGCGAACGGGUGAGUAACACGUGAGUAACCUGCCCUUAACUCUGGGAUAAGCCUGGGAAACUGGGUCUAAUACCGGAUAGGAGCGUCCACCGCAUGGUGGGUGUUGGAAAGAUUUAUCGGUUUUGGAUGGACUCGCGGCCUAUCAGCUUGUUGGUGAGGUAAUGGCUCACCAAGGCGACGACGGGUAGCCGGCCUGAGAGGGUGACCGGCCACACUGGGACUGAGACACGGCCCAGACUCCUACGGGAGGCAGCAGUGGGGAAUAUUGCACAAUGGGCGCAAGCCUGAUGCAGCGACGCCGCGUGAGGGAUGACGGCCUUCGGGUUGUAAACCUCUUUCAGUAGGGAAGAAGCGAAAGUGACGGUACCUGCAGAAGAAGCACCGGCUAACUACGUG